AGCGAGCGAGAAGAAUCCGUUGGGCCCGGGGGCGCCCGCGCGGCAACUGCACCGCGGGGGAGCCCAGUCGCCCCGCUCACCCGGUCUUGCUAUGUUGCCGGGACUGGUUUUGAGCUCCUGGGCUCAAGCGAUCCGCCCACCUCAGCCUCCUGAGUGGCCGGGACUACAGGAAAGCACUACCAUGCAUGCUGAGGCCUUGAUUUUAACCCAGUGAGCUGUAUUUCUGAACUUCAGAACUGUAAGCUUCCUGAAUCCCAUGGCUUCCUCAGGAUACUCUGCUCUUUUACUGAUGGAGUGCAUGCUCUAAUAACUCCUCAAGAAAAGGUGUCUGGCAGGUAAGCUUUCUGAGUCUUUGCAUGUGUAACAAUG
Long non-coding RNA from Symphalangus syndactylus (siamang), 369 nucleotides. RefSeq lists it as uncharacterized. The record is from RefSeq and is a predicted model, not a curated record. NCBI's taxonomy places the organism in Eukaryota, Metazoa, Chordata, Mammalia, Primates, Hylobatidae.